AAUAUGUAAUAGGUUCCAGUUUCCUUGAGAAGAAGAUCACUUAAAGUCAUGGCCCUUACUGCCAGGUAAGCAAGUUAACUAUCAAGCUACUUCAGAAAUAAUUUAAUUUCCCUUCUGUUUCUAGAGAGGAUGGAGAGGGGCAGUCAUUGAAAUCUAAGGAAGUGCAGAAUCAUGAAGCCUAAUCUGAGGAAGCCUAAGAGGAUAAGAAAGUCUUUCAUAUGAAUUCUGAAUCUAGAAGUGGACGCUUUAAAAUCUUCCAAAAUGAAUAAACAGACCUUUUAUUCAAGAUCCAGAGCUCUGCUGUUGACAAGAAUGCUUUCAAUUUGGGAUUUUCUUUCACUAGCUUUGUCUGAGUCCCCUGGCAACACUGUAAGAAAAUUUGGGACCUGGAUAAGAUUUGGCACAGGGAUAGCUCCGUAUCCUUAACAUGAACAAGGCAUUCUGACCAGUUGCAGCACUCUGGCCUGAUAGUGAGAAUCUGCUACAGAAAAUGUUGUUGUAUACUGUCAGUGUGUUUUACAUGGAGUUUUUAGACACAAGCCUUCAAUCCUGCUAGGUACUACUUCAAAUUAAUGUUAUUACUGAAAUCAAUGAGAAUAGCAAAGCGCAUUAAGCAAACCCUGGAAUUACAUAUCGCACUGUAUUGGUGACAAGGUGGCUGAUCAGAAUAUGCUGUAAAAUAUUUUUUCUAUGUAUUCU
Molecule: long non-coding RNA, 699 nt
Filed under: Anas platyrhynchos platyrhynchos (common mallard)
Lineage: Eukaryota; Metazoa; Chordata; Aves; Anseriformes; Anatidae
Description: lncRNA (ENSAPLG00000018220.1)
Source: RNAcentral